GUUAGACUAAGGAGUAGUGAUAGACAUUUAUAGAGAAUGACUUAACACUUCAGAAAGAUCACUUUGAUUAGAUGUCCUUUAGUAUUUGGUAUUCGGUUUAUAUUAUUAUACAAUCUUGUCCUCUUUUUUUAAGCAACCAGGUUUUCCUGUGACUGUGACAGUAGAGAGUCCUUCAUCCUCUGAAAUUGAAGAGGUUGAUGAUUCUUCAGAGAGUGUUCAUGAAGUGCCUGAGAAAACUAGUAUAAAACAAGAAGCAUUACAGCUGGAACAUGAAAAUGCCCAGUUAAGAAAUAUAAAUUUCUCUUUGUCUGAAGCCCUUCAUGCACAGUCAUUGACAAAUAUGAUCCUGGAUGAUGAAGGUGUUUUGGGCAGCAUUGAGAAUUCUUUUCAGAAGUUUCAUGCUUUCUUGGAUCUCCUUAAAGAUGCUGGGCUUGGGCAGCUUGCCACAAUGGCUGGGAU
Molecule: small RNA, 459 nt
Filed under: Pongo abelii (Sumatran orangutan)
Lineage: Eukaryota; Metazoa; Chordata; Mammalia; Primates; Hominidae
Description: retained intron
Source: RNAcentral